AGAGUUUGAUCAUGGCUCAGGAUGAACGCUGGCGGCGUGCCUAACACAUGCAAGUCGAGCGAAGCACUUUACUCUGAUUUCUUCGGAAUGAAGAGUGAUUUGACUGAGCGGCGGACGGGUGAGUAACGCGUGGGUAACCUGCCUCACACAGGGGGAUAACAGUUAGAAAUGACUGCUAAUACCGCAUAAGGCCACAGCACCGCAUGGUGCAGGGGUAAAAACUCCGGUGGUGUGAGAUGGGCCCGCGUCUGAUUAGUUAGUUGGCGGGGUAACGGCCCACCAAGACGACGAUCAGUAGCCGACCUGAGAGGGUGACCGG
Molecule: ribosomal RNA, 319 nt
Filed under: uncultured bacterium
Lineage: Bacteria
Description: bacterial SSU rRNA
Rfam family: Bacterial small subunit ribosomal RNA
Source: RNAcentral